RNAcentral lists this unclassified non-coding RNA (339 nucleotides) under soil metagenome. Its description in RNAcentral is "partial contains 5.8S ribosomal RNA, internal transcribed spacer 2, and large subunit ribosomal RNA". The stretch from base 1 to 120 matches the Rfam family "5.8S ribosomal RNA", at positions 35 to 154 of the family's 154-position model. The record is from RNAcentral.
GAUGAAGAACGUAGCGAAAUGCGAUAAGUAAUGUGAAUUGCAGAAUUCAGUGAAUCAUCGAAUCUUUGAACGCACAUUGUGCCCGGUAGUAUUCUGCCGGGCAUGCCUGUUCGAGCGUCAUUUCAACCAUCAAGCCCCAGCGCUUGUGUUGGGGGCCUGCGGCUGCCGCAGCCCCCUAAAAGCAGUGGCGGGCUCGCUAUCACACCGAGUGCAGUAGUUCAUCUUCUCUCCGGUCUUGUGAGGCGGGUUCCGGCCGUGAAACACCCCACUACAUUUCAAGGUUGACCUCGGAUCAGGUAGGAAUACCCGCUGAACUUAAGCAUAUCAAUAAGCGGAGGA